ACAAGUUUGAGUUUGAUUUUAUAUCGCCUGUGAUCUGUGGCACUUUAACCAGGAAAUCUUUCACCCCACUAUUAUGGAUCUUCACCCUCAUUCUCUGUAAUAUUGAUUUGUCUGUUUUUGCUGCAGCUGAAGGAAAAACUUAGGACACUCAGACAGAUGAGGCAGCAAAGGUCAAAGGUUAAAAGGACCUGGACAUUGAUAUAGAGAGAGUCAGAGAGUAACUGUAAGAGUGAUGAUGUGUUCAUGAUGAACUCCAGAAAGAUGGGAAUAUAAAUGAGAUAAAUAGAGAAUGCCAGACAGUGAUGGUGUUGACAAAGACAAAGUAAUCUAAGAGGAUGAGAAAGAGGGAGAUGAAAAGAAAGAGGUCCUUCAGGAGAACCAGCCAGCAAAAUACAAAGAUCUCUCUGUUUUUGCUGCAGACAGGGAUAGGACUCAGAACCCUCAGAAAGACCAGGCAGCAAGGGUCAAAGGCGAAAAGGACCUGGACAUUGAUUUCGCUUUAAAUAUCAGCUAUCUGAGCAAGCAACCGAUCGCUGCAGCUG
Oncorhynchus keta (chum salmon) is the source of this 542-nucleotide long non-coding RNA. RefSeq lists it as uncharacterized. The record is from RefSeq and is a predicted model, not a curated record. NCBI's taxonomy places the organism in Eukaryota, Metazoa, Chordata, Actinopteri, Salmoniformes, Salmonidae. The transcript has 3 exons.